AGAGUUUGAUCAUGGCUCAGGGUGAACGCUGGCGGCGCGCCUAAUGCAUGCAAGUCGAGCGUGCCCUGGUGGCUUCGGCCAUCAGGGAAAGCGGCAGACGGCUGAGUAACGCGUGAGUAACCUGCCCUCUGGUGGGGUAUAGCCGCGAGAAAUCGCGGUUAAUCCCGCAUAAGAUCUCCAGGCCUUGGUUUGGAGAUGAAAGCCUUCGGGCGCCGGAGGAGGGGCUCGCGUCCUAUCAGGUAGUUGGUGAGGUAACGGCCCACCAAGCCGAUGACGGGUCGCUGACCUGAGAGGGUGGUCAGCCACAGGGGAACUGAGAGACGGUCCCCACUCCUACGGGAGGCAGCAGUGAGGAAUCUUGGGCAAUGGGGGCAACCCUGACCCAGCUAUGCCGCGUGCGGGAGGACGCCCUUCGGGGUGUAAACCGCUUUUGAGGGGGAGGAGCAAGGACAGUACCCCUCGAACAAGUCACGGCUAACUACGUGCCAGCAGCCGCGGUAAUACGUAGGUGGCGAACGUUAUCCGGAAUCACUGGGCGUAAAGGGUCCGUAGGCGGAACGACAAGUCGGACGUGACAGGGCGCGGCUCACCCGCGCGAGGUCGUUCGAAACUGUCGCUCUAGAAUCGGUGCGAGGUCGGUGGAAUUCCCGGUGUAGUGGUGGAAUGCGUAGAGAUCGGGAAGAACCUCAACGGCGCAGGCAGCCGGCUAGUGCCAGAUUGACGCUGAGGGACGAAAGCGUGGGGAGCGAACAGGAUUAGAUACCCCAGUAGUCC
Molecule: ribosomal RNA, 774 nt
Filed under: uncultured soil bacterium
Lineage: Bacteria
Description: bacterial SSU rRNA
Rfam family: Bacterial small subunit ribosomal RNA
Source: RNAcentral